CUACGUGCCAGCAGCCGCGGUAAUACGGAAGGUCCAGGCGUUAUCCGGAUUUAUUGGGUUUAAAGGGAGCGUAGGCUGGAGAUUAAGUGUGUUGUGAAAUGUAGACGCUCAACGUCUGACUUGCAGCGCAUACUGGUUUCCUUGAGUACGCACAACGUUGGCGGAAUUCGUCGUGUAGCGGUGAAAUGCUUAGAUAUGACGAAGAACUCCGAUUGCGAAGGCAGCUGACGGGAGCGCAACUGACGCUGAAGCUCGAAGGUGCGGGUAUCGAACAGGAUUAGAUACCCUGGUAGUCCACGCCGUAAACGAUGAGUGCUAGGUGUUAGACCCUUUCCGGGGUUUAGUGCCGUAGCUAACGCAUUAAGCACUCCGCCUGGGGAGUACGACCGCAAGGUUGAAACUCAAAGGAAUUGACGGGGGCCCGCACAAGCGGUGGAGCAUGUGGUUUAAUUCGAUGCAACGCGAAGAACCUUACCUACUCUUGACAUCCAGAGAACAUUC
RNAcentral lists this ribosomal RNA (501 nucleotides) under uncultured bacterium. RNAcentral describes it as "bacterial SSU rRNA". It matches the Rfam family "Bacterial small subunit ribosomal RNA", at positions 501 to 1000 of the family's 1533-position model. The record is from RNAcentral.